This 433-nucleotide ribosomal RNA is filed under the name uncultured bacterium. RNAcentral's name for it is "partial 16S ribosomal RNA". It matches the Rfam family "Bacterial small subunit ribosomal RNA", at positions 29 to 507 of the family's 1533-position model. The record is from RNAcentral.
AACGAACGCUGGCGGCAUGCCUAACACAUGCAAGUCGAACGAGACCUUCGGGUCUAGUGGCGCCCGGGUGCGUAACGCGUGGGAACCUGCCCUUAGGUUCGGAAUAACUCCCCGAAAGGGGUGCUAAUACCGGAUAAUGUCUUCGGACCAAAGAUUUAUCGCCCUUGGAUGGGCCCGCGUUGGAUUAGCUAGUUGGUAGGGUAAAAGCCUACCAAGGCGACGAUCCAUAGCUGGUCUGAGAGGAUGAUCAGCCACACUGGGACUGAGACACGGCCCAGACUCCUACGGGAGGCAGCAGUGGGGAAUAUUGGACAAUGGGCGAAAGCCUGAUCCAGCAAUGCCGCGUGAGUGAUGAAGGCCUUAGGGUUGUAAAGCUCUUUUACCCGGGAUGAUAAUGACAGUACCGGAAGAAUAAGCUCCGGCUAACUCCGUG